GACGAACGCUGGCGGCGUGCUUAACACAUGCAAGUCGAACGGAAAGGCCCUGCUUUUGUGGGGUGCUCGAGUGGCGAACGGGUGAGUAACACGUGAGUAACCUGCCCUUGACUUUGGGAUAACUUCAGGAAACUGGGGCUAAUACCGGAUAGGAGCUCCUGCUGCAUGGUGGGGGUUGGAAAGUUUCGGCGGUUUGGGAUGGACUCGCGGCUUAUCAGCUUGUUGGUUGGGUAGUGGCUUACCAAGGCUUUGACGGGUAGCCGGCCUGAGAGGGUGACCGGCCACAUUGGGACUGAGAUACGGCCCAGACUCCUACGGGAGGCAGCAGUGGGGAAUAUUGCACAAUGGGCGGAAGCCUGAUGCAGCAACGCCGCGUGCGGGAUGACGGCCUUCGGGUUGUAAACCGCUUUCGCCUGUGACGAAGCGUGAGUGACGGUAAUGGGUAAAGAAGCACCGGCUAACUACAUG
This 468-nucleotide ribosomal RNA is filed under the name uncultured bacterium. Its description in RNAcentral is "partial 16S ribosomal RNA". It matches the Rfam family "Bacterial small subunit ribosomal RNA", at positions 28 to 507 of the family's 1533-position model. The record is from RNAcentral.